GGUGAGGUGGGUGAGUGGCUUAAACCAACAGUUUGCUAAACUGUCGUUCCGGCAACGGAACCGGGGGUUCGAAUCCCCCCCUCACCG
This 87-nucleotide transfer RNA is filed under the name Schleiferia thermophila. RNAcentral's name for it is "tRNA-Ser". It matches the Rfam family "tRNA". From Rfam's summary of the family: Transfer RNA (tRNA) molecules are approximately 80 nucleotides in length. Lineage: Bacteria; Pseudomonadati; Bacteroidota; Flavobacteriia; Flavobacteriales; Schleiferiaceae. The record is from RNAcentral.